CUUCUUUAAAAGAAUAUGCCAGAGGACAUUAACGUUACCUUGAUAACUCCAGGAUUUUCAAAGUCAAAUAUUUUGCUCUCUUAUAUUACUUUGAUAUCCUUAAGAAAUCUUAAAACAUAGGCUACUGUGACAAAAGUCUUUAGAACAGAGGACUUUUAUAUUUCUCAACUUUUUAAAAAAUUUUUUUUAGUUUUAAGUUUUCUUGUUAAAGUUUACAGAAACUCUGCUUUCCCUGCACACCCUCACCACUCAUCUUAUAUUCAGCUGUGAGCUUUUAAAGUCCUGACAUCCUUUAUUAAGCAAAGGCAAAUACAAACACACAGUGGUUCCCCAUCUUGGCCCUGAUUGUAACCACCUGAGAACCUUAACAUCCACGGGGCAGCCCCCUCUUCAGACCCUAGAAUUUAUCAUUUAAUUGCCCAGGACAUGAGUUGGUUUUGUGUUUUUUUGUUCCCAGGUGAUUCUAAUAGGCACCUCAUGUGGAAAACUACUCACAGGGUUUAACAAAGAAAACAUUUGGAAUAACCCAAACUUUCCUCCGUUUUGGGGGUGACUAUUCAAGCAGCCUUGCCUCUUGCUCUUCGAUUGGCUCUCCCAUUAGUGUCCUUCCCUUGAGCAUGGCUGUCCUCACCCCGACUCAGCCCCAAAGUUUUGAGGCUCCCAUUAAAAAUUCCAGACCAAGAACAGGCAAGCUUCAUUCUCUUUCUUUUCCUUUAGUACAAGAAUAUUAGAGCUGCAAGGGCUCUUGAAAAAAUAAUCUAAAUCAACCCCCUUAUUUGCAGGUGAGAGAUUCCAGGCAGGGAAGUAACGUGCCUGACAUCCAUGGAACCAGUUCCUCCCAGAGGUGGCACUGCUGACUCUCCGUUCACAGCCACUUACACUACCGUCCCUGCAGAAAUGGGGUGCUACAGAGAAUGUCCUUAGCAAACUUUCAGAGACAAGGCUAUUUUAGAGUGCAAGAGCAAAAACCCAUUCAACCCGGCAAAAAUCACAGAGUCUUAGAAAGAAUCAGGAUCUUACAGAGCUCCAGUCAGGCCUCAUUGGGAACUGGAACCAGCAAUUGGAAAAGCAGCAGGAACCUAGACAGUUAUUGUCCCUCGUGUGGGUGUGUGUAUUUGUCUCCAGGCUACUUUCUCUCUGCUUCCCUUUGCACAUGAAGCUGCAGGAGCAGGAACCUGGUCAGCCCUUUCGGUCAGGUGUCCACCCCUUCUCCCUCCAGGAACGAGCAGGGAGCGGAGCCAGUUGUAGAAACAUGGGAAGAAAGUUUGAGGACGGUGGCUAACUGCCGCCGGGGACCUACGUCAGAGCUUGAACUGACCUCCCCUCAAGGGUUCUCAUAUGGGCACAGAACCUAGAGCUCAUUCAGUGCAACGCCCUCAUGUUCCUGGGUGUCUGUCACCGGUUCUGUGUCUACUGAUGCGCAGGCAUAAAUCUCCAAUUUUUCAACAACUUAUUUACAGAAAGAAUCGCGAAGCCGCUGACCUCAGACUCGCAUCUCUGAGGAACCUGACUUUGGACUUUAGCCUACGUGUUAAACCUCAGGAAAUUUUAUACAUGAGCAAGGAACACAGGACCCAAGACAAGCAGACUGAUCGUCAAGCCGCUGUCUCAAUUUUUUUAAAUGUUCUUGAGAACAUUUGACGUGUUCUUCGAGCCAAAGCAAUAGCUUCUUAUUUGGUGAGCAUGUUUUUUGAGACAAUACGAGGCUCGACUUUAAAAUUUACCCAAAUAAAAGUGUGUAUGCAUGUCUGUUAAUUCCUAAUGUCAUUCUUCUUUCAUAUAUAUUUUUUGCAUAAUUUUCAGCUAUUCUGCACGAAUUAAAACUGGUUAGUUUUUCCUUCUUUUCAUUACUGUUCCAGCCUUCUUAGGAUGAGCUCUAUUACAUAAAAAGGAUUGCGCUUUACUUUUCCUUCUACUCUGGAUCUGUAUCUCUGAAACUGUUCAUGUAGACUUUGGGCCAAUGACUGAUUAUUCCAUAGAGAAGCUGGGUCACAAAAAAUAUUGAUUACAGAUCACAUAGACUUGUGUGACUCAUAGGAGGUGGUGUAAAAGAAAGCUAAGUGGGGAAAAUUCUUGUUUUC
This is a long non-coding RNA of Equus caballus (horse), 2081 nucleotides long. Lineage: Eukaryota; Metazoa; Chordata; Mammalia; Perissodactyla; Equidae. The record is from Ensembl.